CGGGCGAGUGAAGUGGGAAAAGCUCAACUUUGAAAUCUGGUACUUUCAGUAUCCGAAUUGUAGUCUCAAGAAGUGUUUUCUGUGCCGGUCCAUGUAUGAGUCUGUUGGAACACAGCGUCAUAGAGGGUGACAACCCCGUUCAUGACAUGGAUCCCGGUGCUUUGUGAUACACUCUCGAAGAGUCGAGUUGUUUGGGAAUGCAGCUCAAAUUGGGUGGUAAAUUCCAUCUAAAGCUAAAUAUUGGCGAGAGACCGAUAGCAAACAAGUACCGUGAGGGAAAGAUGAAAAGCACUUUGGAAAGAGAGUUAACAGUACGUGAAAUUGUUGAAAGGGAAACGAUUGAAGUCAGACGUGCGUGAUGCGGUUCAGCUUUAGUUCGCUAGAGUGUACUCCGUAUCUUUGCAGGCCAACAUCGGUUUUGUUAGUCGGAUAAAGGUUUGAGAAAUGUGGCACCUUCGGGUGUGUUAUAGUCUCAGACUGAAUACGAUUGAUGGGACCGAGGAACGCAGCGCGCCGCAGGGCAAAGGUUCCGACCUUUUCGCGCUUAGGAUGUUGGUGAAAUGGCUUUAAACGACCCGU
This 579-nucleotide ribosomal RNA is filed under the name Basidiomycota sp. 3 HFP-2013. RNAcentral's name for it is "eukaryotic LSU rRNA". It matches the Rfam family "Eukaryotic large subunit ribosomal RNA", at positions 87 to 652 of the family's 3401-position model. Lineage: Eukaryota; Fungi; Basidiomycota. The record is from RNAcentral.